This 616-nucleotide long non-coding RNA is filed under the name Homo sapiens (human). RNAcentral describes it as "HSALNT0168135". The record is from RNAcentral. Lineage: Eukaryota; Metazoa; Chordata; Mammalia; Primates; Hominidae.
UGUCUGUCCACAUGUGCAUGUGUGCAAGUGUGUAUGCGUGCAUAUGAAGCUCCCUGAGAGCUGUCACGUUUGGCAGUUUCAAAUCUGAGCCUUCCCGGGAUGCCCCAUCACAGGCCCCUGAGAUGGAUUCAUCUGAUACCAGGAGCCUCUAGGACCCAGAAAUUUAACUGUCAAUCAAGAGGCAUGUGAGGGAAAGUCCAGCCCAGCCUGGGUGCCAGAAGGUCUGGAUUCCUGGUCUGCACAUUCCCUACAACUCUGGGCAGAGAUCUCAUAUGUACUUCUGGCUCAGCUACUAACUUAGCUGUGUGGCUUUAGGUGACCCACUUAACUUCUCUGAAUCUGUUUCUCCAUUUGUAAAAUAAAAGGUUUGGACUAGGGAAUCCCCAAAUUUCCUUUCAGUAUAAAAGUUCCAUGAUUACCAGUGACCUGCUCAAGGUUCAUUAUUUCCCUCAUGUUUAAAGCACAGAAUCUUGUCCACUUCAUAGGGAGGUGGUGAAAGUCUAUGCACAUGUGCUCAGUAAAUCUUAGGCCAACACAAAUGUCAGCUAUCAUCAUUAUUAUAAGAAUUCUUUAUGCAGCUCUUUCUUCAGAACAUGUUUUAUAUCUUUUACCAUUU